CCUACGGGUGGCAGCAGUGAGGAAUAUUGGUCAAUGGACGAGAGUCUGAACCAGCCAAGUAGCGUGAAGGAUGACUGCCCUAUGGGUUGUAAACUUCUUUUAUCUGGGAAUAAAACGUUCCACGUGUGGGAUUUUGUAUGUACCAUAUGAAUAAGGAUCGGAUAACUCCGUGCCAGCAGCCGCGGUAAUCCGGAGGAUCCGAGCGUUAUCCGGAUUUAUUGGGUUUAAAGGGGGCGUAGGGGGAUUGUUAAGGCAGUUGUGAAAGUUUGGGGCUCAACCGUAAAAUUGCAGUUGAAACUGGCAGUCUUGAGUACAGUAGAGGUGGGCGGAAUUCGUGGUGUAGCGGUGAAAUGCUUAGAUAUCACGAAGAACUCCGAUUGCGAAGGCAGUUCACUGGACUGCAACUGACACUGAGGCUCGAAAGUGUGGGUAUCAAACAGGAUUAGAUACCCUUGUAGUA
RNAcentral lists this ribosomal RNA (460 nucleotides) under uncultured bacterium. Its description in RNAcentral is "partial 16S ribosomal RNA". It matches the Rfam family "Bacterial small subunit ribosomal RNA", at positions 338 to 795 of the family's 1533-position model. The record is from RNAcentral.